AGUGAACGCUGGCGGUAGGCCUAACACAUGCAAGUCGAACGGCAGCACAGUAAGAGCUUGCUCUUACGGGUGGCGAGUGGCGGACGGGUGAGGAGUACAUCGGAAUCUACUUUUUCGUGGGGGAUAACGUAGGGAAACUUACGCUAAUACCGCAUACGACCUACGGGUGAAAGCAGGGGAUCUUCGGACCUUGCGCGAUUGAAUGAGCCGAUGUCGGAUUAGCUAGUUGGCGGGGUAAAGGCCCACCAAGGCGACGAUCCGUAGCUGGUCUGAGAGGAUGAUCAGCACCACUGAACCUGAGACCCGGCCCAGCCCCCUACGGGAGGCGGCGGUGGGAAUUUUUGGCCAAGGGGCGCAACCCUGAUCCACCCAUCCCGCGUGGGUGAAGAGGGCCUUCGGGUGGUAAAGCCCUUUUGUUGGGAAAGAAAAGCAGCAGGUUAAUACCCCGCUGUUCUGCCGGUACCCAAAGAAUAGCACCGGCUAACUUCGUG
Molecule: ribosomal RNA, 491 nt
Filed under: uncultured bacterium
Lineage: Bacteria
Description: partial 16S ribosomal RNA
Rfam family: Bacterial small subunit ribosomal RNA
Source: RNAcentral